Molecule: ribosomal RNA, 2904 nt
Filed under: Escherichia coli UMEA 3176-1
Lineage: Bacteria; Pseudomonadati; Pseudomonadota; Gammaproteobacteria; Enterobacterales; Enterobacteriaceae
Description: bacterial LSU rRNA
Rfam family: Bacterial large subunit ribosomal RNA
Source: RNAcentral
UUAAGCGACUAAGCGUACACGGUGGAUGCCCUGGCAGUCAGAGGCGAUGAAGGACGUGCUAAUCUGCGAUAAGCGUCGGUAAGGUGAUAUGAACCGUUAUAACCGGCGAUUUCCGAAUGGGGAAACCCAGUGUGUUUCGACACACUAUCAUUAACUGAAUCCAUAGGUUAAUGAGGCGAACCGGGGGAACUGAAACAUCUAAGUACCCCGAGGAAAAGAAAUCAACCGAGAUUCCCCCAGUAGCGGCGAGCGAACGGGGAGCAGCCCAGAGCCUGAAUCAGUGUGUGUGUUAGUGGAAGCGUCUGGAAAGGCGCGCGAUACAGGGUGACAGCCCCGUACACAAAAAUGCACAUGCUGUGAGCUCGAUGAGUAGGGCGGGACACGUGGUAUCCUGUCUGAAUAUGGGGGGACCAUCCUCCAAGGCUAAAUACUCCUGACUGACCGAUAGUGAACCAGUACCGUGAGGGAAAGGCGAAAAGAACCCCGGCGAGGGGAGUGAAAAAGAACCUGAAACCGUGUACGUACAAGCAGUGGGAGCACAGAGCAAUCUGUGUGACUGCGUACCUUUUGUAUAAUGGGUCAGCGACUUAUAUUCUGUAGCAAGGUUAACCGAAUAGGGGAGCCGAAGGGAAACCGAGUCUUAACUGGGCGUUAAGUUGCAGGGUAUAGACCCGAAACCCGGUGAUCUAGCCAUGGGCAGGUUGAAGGUUGGGUAACACUAACUGGAGGACCGAACCGACUAAUGUUGAAAAAUUAGCGGAUGACUUGUGGCUGGGGGUGAAAGGCCAAUCAAACCGGGAGAUAGCUGGUUCUCCCCGAAAGCUAUUUAGGUAGCGCCUCGUGAAUUCAUCUCCGGGGGUAGAGCACUGUUUCGGCAAGGGGGUCAUCCCGACUUACCAACCCGAUGCAAACUGCGAAUACCGGAGAAUGUUAUCACGGGAGACACACGGCGGGUGCUAACGUCCGUCGUGAAGAGGGAAACAACCCAGACCGCCAGCUAAGGUCCCAAAGUCAUGGUUAAGUGGGAAACGAUGUGGGAAGGCCCAGACAGCCAGGAUGUUGGCUUAGAAGCAGCCAUCAUUUAAAGAAAGCGUAAUAGCUCACUGGUCGAGUCGGCCUGCGCGGAAGAUGUAACGGGGCUAAACCAUGCACCGAAGCUGCGGCAGCGACGCUGAUGCGUUGUUGGGUAGGGGAGCGUUCUGUAAGCCUGUGAAGGUGUACUGUGAGGUAUGCUGGAGGUAUCAGAAGUGCGAAUGCUGACAUAAGUAACGAUAAAGCGGGUGAAAAGCCCGCUCGCCGGAAGACCAAGGGUUCCUGUCCAACGUUAAUCGGGGCAGGGUGAGUCGACCCCUAAGGCGAGGCCGAAAGGCGUAGUCGAUGGGAAACAGGUUAAUAUUCCUGUACUUGGUGUUACUGCGAAGGGGGGACGGAGAAGGCUAUGUUGGCCGGGCGACGGUUGUCCCGGUUUAAGCGUGUAGGCUGGUUUUCCAGGCAAAUCCGGAAAAUCAAGGCUGAGGCGUGAUGACGAGGCACUACGGUGCUGAAGCAACAAAUGCCCUGCUUCCAGGAAAAGCCUCUAAGCAUCAGGUAACAUCAAAUCGUACCCCAAACCGACACAGGUGGUCAGGUAGAGAAUACCAAGGCGCUUGAGAGAACUCGGGUGAAGGAACUAGGCAAAAUGGUGCCGUAACUUCGGGAGAAGGCACGCUGAUAUGUAGGUGAAGUCCCUCGCGGAUGGAGCUGAAAUCAGUCGAAGAUACCAGCUGGCUGCAACUGUUUAUUAAAAACACAGCACUGUGCAAACACGAAAGUGGACGUAUACGGUGUGACGCCUGCCCGGUGCCGGAAGGUUAAUUGAUGGGGUCAGCGCAAGCGAAGCUCUUGAUCGAAGCCCCGGUAAACGGCGGCCGUAACUAUAACGGUCCUAAGGUAGCGAAAUUCCUUGUCGGGUAAGUUCCGACCUGCACGAAUGGCGUAAUGAUGGCCAGGCUGUCUCCACCCGAGACUCAGUGAAAUUGAACUCGCUGUGAAGAUGCAGUGUACCCGCGGCAAGACGGAAAGACCCCGUGAACCUUUACUAUAGCUUGACACUGAACAUUGAGCCUUGAUGUGUAGGAUAGGUGGGAGGCUUUGAAGUGUGGACGCCAGUCUGCAUGGAGCCGACCUUGAAAUACCACCCUUUAAUGUUUGAUGUUCUAACGUUGACCCGUGAUCCGGGUUGCGGACAGUGUCUGGUGGGUAGUUUGACUGGGGCGGUCUCCUCCUAAAGAGUAACGGAGGAGCACGAAGGUUGGCUAAUCCUGGUCGGACAUCAGGAGGUUAGUGCAAUGGCAUAAGCCAGCUUGACUGCGAGCGUGACGGCGCGAGCAGGUGCGAAAGCAGGUCAUAGUGAUCCGGUGGUUCUGAAUGGAAGGGCCAUCGCUCAACGGAUAAAAGGUACUCCGGGGAUAACAGGCUGAUACCGCCCAAGAGUUCAUAUCGACGGCGGUGUUUGGCACCUCGAUGUCGGCUCAUCACAUCCUGGGGCUGAAGUAGGUCCCAAGGGUAUGGCUGUUCGCCAUUUAAAGUGGUACGCGAGCUGGGUUUAGAACGUCGUGAGACAGUUCGGUCCCUAUCUGCCGUGGGCGCUGGAGAACUGAGGGGGGCUGCUCCUAGUACGAGAGGACCGGAGUGGACGCAUCACUGGUGUUCGGGUUGUCAUGCCAAUGGCACUGCCCGGUAGCUAAAUGCGGAAGAGAUAAGUGCUGAAAGCAUCUAAGCACGAAACUUGCCCCGAGAUGAGUUCUCCCUGACUCCUUGAGAGUCCUGAAGGAACGUUGAAGACGACGACGUUGAUAGGCCGGGUGUGUAAGCGCAGCGAUGCGUUGAGCUAACCGGUACUAAUGAACCGUGAGGCUUAACCUU